GCGGGACAUGGUGGUGUAUGCCUGUAGUCCCAGCUACUAGGGAGGCUGAGGUGGGAGGAUCACUUGAGCCCAGGAGGUCGAGGCUGCAGUGAGCCAUGAUGGCACCAUUGCACUCUAGCCUGGGUGACAAAGUGAGAUCCUGUCUCAA
Non-coding RNA from Pan troglodytes (chimpanzee), 148 nucleotides. It matches the Rfam family "Metazoan signal recognition particle RNA". Rfam says of the family: The signal recognition particle (SRP) is a universally conserved ribonucleoprotein. It is involved in the co-translational targeting of proteins to membranes. NCBI's taxonomy places the organism in Eukaryota, Metazoa, Chordata, Mammalia, Primates, Hominidae. The record is from Rfam.